UCUGUAUAUAUUUUAUGCCAUGGCUAUGAAGUGAACUGAUUUACUGAUAUCGAAGUUCCAGAGAACUUCUUUUACCGAGGUUAGGUUAUCUGUAACGUUUUCUCGUUAUCUUGCGUGUAGUGUGAAGUUGUGUUCAUGAAUCUCGACUAUUGACCGGAUAUUUAUUAUUAUUUUGUCUGUAGUUGCGUUUUUGAUUUUCUCAAUAUUUUCCACUGUUAUUUAAUAGUAUUUGUCAAAUUUCUUCCAACAUCCACAAGUUUAUGGUUAAAAUGAAUAAUAAUUUUACAUUUGUAUGUGUCAAAUAUCGUUCGGUUGUAAGAGAUCCAAUUCUGUAAGUGUAUUGAUUAUAUAAUAUUACCUACUUGUGAGAAUUCAUAUUGUAUUUUAUAAUAUAUUUUAUGUGGUAUUAAACAUUUAUGUUGUUGUUCUGGUCCGUUCAUUGUUAUACUUAAAGUGACCAAUUUAUUUGUAUUUUAUAAAAAACAAUGAAUUUUAAAUUAGGUUUCAAAUUUACAGACAUAUGUAUAAGUAUGACGGUCUAGACGGAAUUUUCACUUCUACGGCUGGGAGGCAUAGUUUACUCAAACAGAUCAAGAGAAAUAGACUUGUAUAUUAUAGAAUUGUGUGAGAGAACAACUUAACACUCGGCCACUUAUAACACUCCGUUUAUUAUGUCGCCUGUUUCACUGAAACGAGUUCUCAUACUGAAUGUUCUAUCUAAACGUUUUUUUUAUGCAAAUACAAUAUCAAGUAACAACGUGUUAUAAAGAUUAUUCCAAACUUUGGAUGUUACAGAAUAUAUUGUUUGUGUUCCUUUUUUUGUGAAAUCCGUAUAUAUCUAUUGUUGAUUAUUUUGUAAACUUUUAGAAUGGUAUUGUUUUAAUUUCUUCUAAACAUUUUUCGCGCUGUGUAUAAAUACUCGAUCCAUGACGUGAAUGUAAAUUAUUUGAAUUAAAUUAUAAAUAUUAUAUUGUCGAUCUGGGUGGUGAACACAUAGAGAUUUUAGGUUAGGUUAGGGGUUAUCAAUAUCAAAUUUACUCUUAUAAUGUAAUAUAUUAAUUGCCCUUUUUGUCGGUCAACAUCACUUAUACUAAGGUUAGAUAGAUUAAGGUAGGUUAAGUAGAUACUUGUAUAGGGUUGCCAGAAAUCUAGAAUUUCAUUCCGGAACGAAUAGAAAAAAUAGCAAAUUAAAUUAGAUUUAAAAUAUCAUUGAAUCAUAUGAGUAGAAAACUAUAUUUUGGCUAUAUCCAACUACUUAUAAUCUAUAAAAUAUAUUAAUAUAAUAAUAUAUUUAAAACAAAAAAUAAACUUUUAUUUUAUAAACUAAAACAAUAAAACAAAAAAUUUAUUUAUUUUUUAUAGAUUAUAAAUUUACUAUAAAAAUAACAUAUAUGUUUUUUUUUUUUUUACUUAUCAAAAAGAUUUUUAUAAAAUAAGUAAUAAGUAAUAGGUAAGUAUUCACUAUUUAGAUAAAUCAGAUUUUGUCAUCAUUGUUUUAUCCCAUAUUCGUUAAAAAUUGUAUCAUUAUCUUUCGAUUACAGUUACGUAUUAUUUGAAAAAACUUUGAAAUUAAAUAAUAUUAAUUUCUCUUAAAACCGGGAUAUAUUGACGUACUAACAUUUAUUUUCGGAACCCUGGUACACCAAGUCAAUAACUAGUUACAGUCCUGGUUUUCCGGAAUGUAUGGCAACCCUAUACUUGUAAGUACGGAUGUAUAGGAUAGACUAAUAGAAUGUUAGAUUAACUAGUAGUAAGUAUUAGUAUCAUAGAUAAUAAAGUUCUUAAUUAUUUUUUUAGUAUCUAUAGCUGUUGAUUUAAUAGAUCUGUUUGUUUUGAAAAUGUGUCGCUGUACACGCUGUUAGUUUUAAAAAUUGUUUGUUUAGUCAUUUAAUAUGUUCACUAUUCACACCAGCAAAUAUGACCGGGUGUUGGAUUGGAUUUUUAGUGUGUUUAUCAGAUUUAUCAAUUAUUAUAAUUUACACACACGUACUAUACAAUUUGAAUUUAACAAACAUCAUAAAAUAGAUUAAAAGAUUAUACCGUUAUGCAUUGAUGAAAUUUUCAAAUUAUUAUUUUAAUUAUCAUUUAUUAGCAAUAAAAGUUUUUAACGGAGCCAUAUUAUGUCAUGUGCUAUAGUGUUAUGAUAAUGGUACGGUUAUUUGCAGAUGUGUGAUUGUUAGAUUUGGAUUAAAAAUCUUACAAUCUGACAUCAAAAUUUGGAAAAUCUAAACUUGGAAACUUGGAAUAAUUAUAACUAUUGCAAUAUGCAUUUAAUGUAUAGAUAUUUUUAAAAAUAAUAACACUUAUAAACACAAUCUUUACAUAAAAUCAACGGAUUAGCUUUAUAAUGUCUUUCUGAAUAAUAUAAUAUAUUGAACUAUAAGCCUUUUAUUUUUUUUUUAAUUCGUUAUGGAUUCAAUAAAAUAUUUAGGUAUGGUUUGGGUUCAAAUAAAAUAUUAUAUGUUUGUUUUGGGUUCUGUUCGACCUUAAGAAUUGAGGUUCAUAACAUCAAUUGUUAAUCAGUAUCAAAAUGUAUACAGCGCCUCUUUUAUUAGAUAGGUACUUGUACAUUUUUUUCAAUUACAUUAUCUAUCUAGUCUAAUUAUUUGAAUUAAUUUUUUAAAAUAUUUGAAAAUUGAAUUUAAGAUGAUAAGAUAACAAUUUGUUUAUUUCAGAUCAAUGAAUUGGUCCUACAGUAGCAGUCGUUUAUGGGAAGCCUUUUAAUAUUCAAAAAUGUAAUUUGUUUAUGGUAAUAAAAGAGAAAUAAUGAAUACAAAAUAUUGUUACAUGAAUAUAAUUAUUCAUAUUGAUGUUCCUUGACCUAACAAGGUAUAUAAUGUCUUGAUUGUUUGCAUUGUAAUUAAUUGAUUCAAAAUGACUGAAGGAUUUUCUAAACUUUCAUAUUGUACUAUUUUGUCUACUAGUGUGCAAUACUUUUCUAGUGUUGACAUUUUUAUAGUUGAACAUAUUUAAUGAUGUGUUUAAAGUAUAUUCAUCAAUUUUACUGUCAAAUAUAUUUUGACUGUCUUGAAUACAAGAUAAAAUUAAAUUCCAAGAACUUGCAAGGUAUAUAUUUGUAGAUCAUUCUAAGCUACCUAAUAAUUAAAACGAUACAAGAUUACAUGUGCAGUUACUAUAAAAGAAACAUAUAAACUAAAUGUGGAACUAUUAUAAAAACAUCAAUUUUCACCUAUUUUAUUUUUAAGGUAAACUAGUUUAUUUGUGUAUUUAGAUGAUAAUGAAUUGAUUUUGAAUCUUAUUUUUUUUUUUUUUAGAAAAUCAUUGAAUUUUAUUUGAUGUUUGUAAGUAAGCCAAAAGAAAAUUAAGAUAUUAAUUAUGGACAACUUGUACAUAAUUAAUUAUGUUUAUCUGGCUCAUGAAAACAAUUUUUAAUGGAUCUUAGUAAGUUUAAUCGCAAUCUAUAAUUCUUUAAAUGUUCUAUUAAGAUAACACAUUUUUUGUUUUAUUUUCAUUUUCAUAGAUAUGUAAUAUUCAUACAUUAAGCUACCUUGAUGUUCGUUUAGAUCAAAUUGUAUAUGCUGACAUUUCAAGAAACAAUUAUUAACUGGAAAGAAAACAAAAAGCUGGUAUUAUUGAAACUAUUUAAUAAUUAUAAGCUGUUUUGGCGAUUAAUAUGUUCAUCAUUAGACAUAGUUAUAUGAUUUUGGUUUAUAGUUUCACAAAAACAAUAUAUCUUUGGUUUUUAAAAAUAAUAUUAAUUGAUAAUACAGGGUGUUCCAUUUAAGUAGAUACACUCAUUAUCUCUGAAAGGAGACUAGUAGUACAUUCUUAAAACACCAUAUGAUGUGCCAUCACACAAAUGAUGCUUCACUACUCUCUCCCUACUCAAACAAAAGUAGAACAUUAUAUCAAUGGGUUGACUGAAAUCAAAAAUUUCAACACCAAAAUCAUUUUAAAUAAUACUAAUUAGUUUUUGAAAAUCAAAAUUAUGUAGUGGUUUUAACCCCACAAAUAAGGGUGACAAAAAAUAAUAAAUGUAAAAUUGUAGAGCUGCUUAUUUCUUAAAUGUUGUGUAAAACAAAUCUGAAAAAAGUUAAUACUUUCAGAGAUCAUGAGUGUACUUUAAUGGAUCCCCUUGUAUACAUUUAAAUUUUAAAGCAUUUAAUUCUUAGGUCUUAGCAUUUAUUUAUUUUUUUUACUGUAUAACGAUUAAAAUUCUUAAGAGUUGUCAAUGUGCUACAAUAUCAUUGCAUUGUAAUUGUUUAAUAGUACUAAGCAAUACUACUUAUAGUUAUAGUUUUAAGUCAAAGAUUAAGUUAGCUGUAGUUUAUAACUUAAAUCAAAACCAUAGUUGGGAAUAUUCUGCACAGCAUAGUUAAAGAAUUGAUUAACAUAAAAGAAUACAGUGACGCAACCAGGGGGGGGGCGUUGGAUGUUUGUACACCUUCCUAUAUCUAUGCUUAAGUCUUAUAAAUGUGUUAAAAGACGAGUUUUUUUUUAAUGUAACCAUAUUAUACCUCUUUCAAAAAAUCCUGGUUGUGUUAGGGAUAGAAUAUGUAGAUGGGUAUCUAAAAUAGGCUGUUGCAUUUCUAAAGGUUGUGAGCCUUGGUAGAUUACUACCAAGUCUAUCUGGUGUACCCAAAGUUCGGUCCCGGCUGAGGCUGAUUAGAUACCCGUCUCUGUCCGGUGAAUGUAGGUUUGGUACCAAAAAAAUAUUGCUUGACUAAAUAAAUUGGCCUAGAGAAUGAAUUAUCUAUUAUUGGUAUUGCAUUUGCAUUGUCUUUUUUUGAUAUUGUAGAUACAAUUACAACUUUGAUUUUGUUAAUUGUAUUAGAGGAAAAAGCGUUGAAAUAAAUUAAACUCCAACUUGAUUAUACAAAUAAUUAAUAGUUUCACUCAAAAUUAUUACAAGUUCAGUAAUAGACUCCUCAAAAAAUAUACAAGGCCAAUAAAUAAUACUCACAAAAAUGUCUAAAUUACAAAUAAUAGAGUGAUGCAAAAUUGCUCGCAUUCGUUCGUGGUGGACUUGUCUGAUUAGACAAUGUUUCAGGCGACGUUAUGUAUGCUAAUACUGUGCCCCCGCAACCCGUAGUUCUUAGUGACUACAAUCUAUAUUUAGCUGCUGCCACCGGAUUAUGGUGACUGCCAAAAUCAAUAAUAAUACAUGUUAUUUUAAUAUACAUAUAUUCAAACUACGUUUUAUGUCUACACUAGUUAUUGGUCCAUAUUUAAAACAAUUUAAUAAAGUAGGCGUUAUAUCUAAAUUAAUAUUUGCUUUACCUGACUUGACUUCAUAGUAAGACUUUAAAGAUUUAUACUCUUCAUUUUUUCC
This 5293-nucleotide long non-coding RNA is filed under the name Cinara cedri. Lineage: Eukaryota; Metazoa; Arthropoda; Insecta; Hemiptera; Aphididae. The record is from RNAcentral.